CUGAAGUAUAAACUGCUAUGGUCCCUGUUUCAUAUAAAGAAUCCGAGCAGUGGAGAUGUACAGAACUUGCUUGAGGUCUCCCAGCAGCUGGGACUCAGGGGCAGGAAUCCAGCACAGAUGGUCUGUGACCUGUGCAUGUCACCAACAUGGCUGCAACAUCUUGCCAUGUAGUUCUGAUUGACUUGGUUUUCACUAUGUGGCUCAAGAUAGCCUGGUACUUGUGGUAAUCCUCCUGCAUCAGCCUCUUAAACACUGGGAUCACAAGGGAACACCACUUCACCGGCUGUGUGUACUCUGGCAUGGCAAAUGGACAGAGUGACAUCUCCUGUCUCACAUGACAUCACUCAGUUGUUUGGUGUCCUCACUCCGAUUUUGCAGAUGAGGACCCUGAAAGAGCUCCUUCAGAGCGGGGCUGUGCUGGAAUGAGGAGCUGCGCUGCAUAGAAGCCUCAGCUGGCCUCUUGCUCCAAACUGGAGUGUUGUUGAGACCCCACCUCAAGCCCCUGACUGCAUUAUCUCCUGACAACCAGGAUUUGGAAGAAGUAUUUGUGGUUAUGAAUCGGUCCAUUUUGAUGACUCUGGAAGAGAUGUCUGCGUGGAUAUAAUGUAAUGACACAAUCUCUCCUUUGCUUAGAUGGAGGCAAUCAUAGGCCAAGCAAGAUCUUGGAUGGGUCUCUACCCGUCAUCAUGGCAAAGUCAACCUCAGGCCAUCACUCAAGGAACUGAAAUGGUGAACUAAUGAGUGCAGUUUCAGCAUCUACACAUGGUCAUAUAGUGCUGGCUGUGCAGCUCAGUGGGUAGAGGGUCAGCCUGGCAUUCGAGAGACCCCCGAGUUCAGUCCCGAGGACUAUCUAAAACAAGGCGGUGCAGGUACACAGGCCUGCAAUCUCAGCUCUUCCAGAGGUGGAAGCUGGAUGGUAAAGGAAUUCAGGUUCACCUGGUCUCUAAAUAAUAAAAGGAAACUGUGAUCUAAAUAUGAUAAUUUACUAUGUAGCAAUAGAAUGUGAGUAUUGGUGUCUUCUAUCUGACAAAUUGGAUUAGGUGCAUAUUUUAUUUUAUCUUUAAAUUUGAGACAGGGACUGGAGAGAUGGUGUAGCCAUUGAGUGUACAGGUAUGAGCUGCUCUUCCAGAGGACUGCAGUUUGGUUUACAGCUCACAGCAGCCUGAACGCCAGGUCCAGAGGGACAUGAGGUUUCUGACCCCUGAAGGUGCCUGUGCUCAUGUGCACAUAGUCUGCACCCCCAUCACAUAUAUACAUAAAUAAAUUGAUAUAGAAGACCAAGACUGAUGAACUGAGUGGAUCCCUGGGGCCCACAUGGUGGAAGGAGAAUGCUGAGUCUCACAGCUGUUCUCUGACCUCUGUGUUAAUGCUAUGGCAACACACUCCCAUAUAAAUAUAUGCCUAUAAAGGAAAGUGAGAUAGAUUUCAAAUCUAUUGAUGUGUACCUGGGUCUUGGUGCUGUGACUUUGUCUCUGUGGUGCCGGCCUCACUCUCCAAGGCUUUGUCACGUCAAGCCUGCAUCCUCUCUGGGGCUACUCUCUAAUAUGUGUGGUUUUUCUGUUGUUUUUGUUUUGUUUUGUGAGAAGGGUCUUGCUGUGUAGCUUAGGCUGGUCUCAAACUCUUGGGCUCCUUAUCCCCCUGCAUCAGCCUCCUCACUAACUGGCAGGCACACACCACCACGUCAACUUACAACCUGAGUUUUGGCAAAUGUGUAAUUGCCACUUUAAUUGAGAUGGGCGUGUGAUUUGACUCCCAAUCUCUGUGAAUACCUUUGUAGUAUAUCCCACCUUCAACUGUCAAUUCUUUUAAAAAAAGUAAUAAAAAGUUUUAUGUGUGUGGUGUUUUGUCUGCAUGUUCUCCUGUGUAUUACUUGUGUGUCUUGGUGCUGGAGGAAGCUAGAAGAGGGUGUUGGAUCCCCUGGAAUUGGAAUUAUAGACAGCUGUGAACCACCAUGUGGGUGCUGGGAAUGGAA
This 1972-nucleotide long non-coding RNA is filed under the name Cricetulus griseus (Chinese hamster). RNAcentral's name for it is "lncRNA (ENSCGRG00015034633.1)". Lineage: Eukaryota; Metazoa; Chordata; Mammalia; Rodentia; Cricetidae. The record is from RNAcentral.